UCUAUUCCAUGAGGUGCGGUCGCGGCCCUCGGCGGGAGCAACAGCUACCGUCGGGCGGUAGAGGUAACACUUUCACGCGCCGCAUGUCUGAAUCCUUUUUUUACGAGCACCUUUCGUUCUCCUUCGGCGGGGCAACCUGCCGUUGGAACCUAUCAAAACCUUUUUUGCAUCUAGCAUUACCUGUUCUGAUACAAACAAUCGUUA
Molecule: unclassified non-coding RNA, 204 nt
Filed under: uncultured Ascomycota
Lineage: Eukaryota; Fungi; Ascomycota
Description: sequence contains ITS1
Source: RNAcentral